GUGGGGAAUUUUGGACAAUGGGCGCAAGCCUGAUCCAGCAAUGCCGCGUGCAGGAAGAAGGCCUUCGGGUUGUAAACUGCUUUUGUACGGAACGAAACGGUCCGGGUUAAUACCCUGGGCUAAUGACGGUACCGUAAGAAUAAGCACCGGCUAACUACGUGCCAGCAGCCGCGGUAAUACGUAGGGUGCAAGCGUUAAUCGGAAUUACUGGGCGUAAAGCGUGCGCAGGCGGUUUUGUAAGACAGGCGUGAAAUCCCCGGGCUCAACCUGGGAAUUGCGGUUGUGACUGCAAGGCUGGAGUGCGGCAGAGGGAGGUGGAAUUCCGCGUGUAGCAGUGAAAUGCGUAGAUAUGCGGAGGAACACCGAUGGCGAAGGCAGCCUCCUGGGAUAACACUGACGCUCAUGCACGAAAGCGUGGGGAGCAAACAGGAUUAGAUACCCGAGUAGUCC
RNAcentral lists this ribosomal RNA (450 nucleotides) under uncultured bacterium. RNAcentral describes it as "bacterial SSU rRNA". It matches the Rfam family "Bacterial small subunit ribosomal RNA", at positions 354 to 796 of the family's 1533-position model. The record is from RNAcentral.